This is an RNA transcript of Solanum dulcamara, 1964 nucleotides long. It is a transcript of the gene named organic cation/carnitine transporter 7-like, with no coding region annotated. The transcript has 5 exons. The record is from RefSeq and is a predicted model, not a curated record. NCBI's taxonomy places the organism in Eukaryota, Viridiplantae, Streptophyta, Magnoliopsida, Solanales, Solanaceae.
ACAAGCCUAAUUCUUCUUGCACAUAAUUUGAGAGAGAAUACAGUCUAUCGUGAUUGUAUGCAUUGAUACAACGAAAUUAAGUGAGUUCAUACAACUUAUCGUGAUUGUACCCAUCAAGAUUAUAUGUGUUAAUAUAGUCAUUAGAGCGGAUGAAUAAAGUGAUACGAGCAUGUAAUAAUUGAACAGUAGCUACGAAUUAGAAUUCUUGUUGAUGUGUAUUCUAUGACUGUUUUAAAGAGCAGAGAAAUACAAUGUAUUCAUAGAAUCUUGUCUUCAUUUAUACAUACAACUUCUAUUCAGAUUUUUGUAAUUUAUGUAUUCAUUUAUUAGAGCACCAAAAAAUAUGUCAAAAAAUACCCUUCUAGAUUCACAAAAUCUUACAGGUAUGUAUUCCGAAUUUUUGUAUAUCUGUCUGUAUCCACAAAAUCUUGCAUUGAUCUUUUAUUAUGUCCGUAUCCAUAAAGUCUUACAUCUUCUAAAAGAGAUAUACAGAACUUUGGUUAUGUUUGUAUUCACAAAAUCUUGUAUUUUUUAUCAUUCAUAAUAAAAGAGCUGUGUUCCUUUUUUUCCUUUCACUCGCGCGAACACUAGUUUUUUUCUGGAUAGAGAUGGCAACAGAGAAAGAGGUGGAAGAUGUUCCUGUGUACACAUUGGAUGAAGCACUCACAACAGUUGGAAUUGGUAAAUUUCAGUAUAUGACCAUGUGUUAUGCAGGUCUUGGUUCUAUUGCUGAAGCAGCGGAGACUAUGAUUCUCUCUUUUGUAGGACCUGCUCUAAGGUCCCAAUGGGCUCUUUCUCCUACUCAAGAAAGUCUUAUGACUACUGUCGUUUUUGCUGGCAUGCUUAUCGGAGCUAUUUUUUGGGGCUUCAUCAUAGACUGUUAUGGAAGAAGGCAAAAAUUUAUUCAAAAUAUACAAGCUUUUUAUCAAAGAAAUAAUAAUCUGGGAACACUCAAUUUUGAUCUAGUUUCAUUAUUUGUUAACAGGAACAGUCUUCUAAGUAUAGCAAUAGUGACUGCAGUAUGUGCAGCUCUCAGUACCUUUUCUCCAAAUUAUAAUUGGUUGCUUGCUGUGCGUAUGAUGGUUGGAUUUGGAGUUGGUGGUGGACCUGUUUAUGGAUCUUGGUUUCUUGAAUUUAUGCCUUCACAAAACAGGGGCAUGUGGAUGAUUCUCUGUACAGGUUUUUGGACAAUUGGAACAAUACUUGAGGCUUUAUUAGCACUGGGUUACUGCCUCCAUAGGAUUUUUCCAUCACUCAAGCCACUGUGACGUCAGAAAGGGAAAGGGGAAAGAAAUCAAUUUAUCAAAAGUAUUCCUUGUUCAUCUCUCCUGCAAUAAUGUCUUCCGUGUCAGUGGUAAACGAUGUCAACAUUCAUCAAUUGAUUUGCACACGAACGAUGAUCAGAGCCUUUAUACGAAUGUGCUCAUCAAUAGUCUUGCAGAGAUCCCUGGAGCUCUUUUAGCAUCUGUAAUGGUGGAGAAAAUUGGUCGGAAAUUCAGUAUGACACUUAUGUGUACUUUAAACUUCCUUUUCCUUUUAGCUCUUCUUGUUCCUCAACCGCCUGCUUUGACUACUUCCUUGUUAUUUGGUGCUCGUACUUCCAUUUCGGGAAGCUUCGUCAUUGUGAGCGUCUAUUGUCGAGAGAUAUAUCCAACGUUUGUAAGGUCAACUGGUAUUGGAGUUUCAACUUCUGUGGGAAAAAUAGGGGCCAUGCUUUCUCCUAUCGUUGUGGUGCAAUAGGUAAGAGGGUGGCCAUCAGAUUGCUGCAAUCAUAUCUUUUGAAGCAGUUGUAGUUUUAUCAGCAGCCAGUGUUGUGCUCUUCUCAGUAGAGACAAAGGGUAGGGAACUAAUUGAUACUCUUGUUGUCUAAAUGUUUGGACAAUUAUUUCAUUUUACUUGUAUUGAAGUUUUCUCUACACAUUGUAGAGGAAAAGAAGUUGAUAUCAUUUUUAGUAUGGAUGAGU